UUUGUGGUGGUCAUAGCGUAGGGGAAACGCCCAGCAUCCCUUUCCGAACCUGGAAGCUAAGCCCUACAGCGCCGAUGGUACUGCACCUGGGAGGGUGUGGGAGAGUAGGACACCGCCACAA
Molecule: ribosomal RNA, 121 nt
Filed under: Schaalia vaccimaxillae
Lineage: Bacteria; Bacillati; Actinomycetota; Actinomycetes; Actinomycetales; Actinomycetaceae
Source: RNAcentral